GAUGAACGCUGGCGGCGUGCUUAACACAUGCAAGUCGAACGGAAAGGCUCCUGCUUGCAGGGGUACUCGAGUGGCGAACGGGUGAGUAACACGUGGGUGAUCUGCCCAGCACUUCGGGAUAAGCCUGGGAAACUGGGUCUAAUACCGGAUAGGACGAUGGUUUGGAUGCCAUUGUGGAAAGUUUUUUCGGUGUGGGAUGAGCUCGCGGCCUAUCAGCUUGUUGGUGGGGUAUUGGCCUACCAAGGCGCCGACGGGUAGCCGGCCUGGGAGGGUGUACGGCCACAUUGGGACUGAGAUACGGCCCAGACUCCUACGGGAGGCAGCAGUGGGGAAUAUUGCACAAUGGGCGCAAGCCUGAUGCAGCGACGCCGCGUGGGGGAUGACGGCCUUCGGGUUGUAAACUCCUUUCGCUAGGGACGAAGCGCAAGUGACGGUACCUGGAGAAGAAGCACCGGCUAACUACGUG
This 466-nucleotide ribosomal RNA is filed under the name uncultured bacterium. RNAcentral's name for it is "partial 16S ribosomal RNA". It matches the Rfam family "Bacterial small subunit ribosomal RNA", at positions 28 to 507 of the family's 1533-position model. The record is from RNAcentral.